This 740-nucleotide long non-coding RNA is filed under the name Heterocephalus glaber (naked mole-rat). Its description in RNAcentral is "lncRNA (ENSHGLG00000025857.2)". The record is from RNAcentral. Lineage: Eukaryota; Metazoa; Chordata; Mammalia; Rodentia; Bathyergidae.
AAAAGCUUCCCAAGGCGCCAACCUUCAAGAUUUAAAGGGAAGUAGGGCUGAUUUAGCUCUGUUCUGGUUCUGUUUCUGCUCAGCAUUCUCAGGUCUAAGAUUCCUGGGUUGGCUUCUGAGAGGGAGGAGACAGCCACCACAGCAAGAACAGCACCAGGAGUUUUAGAUUAAAAAUGGAAAGCAGAGAGUAGGGGAUGAGGCCUGUGGGCUGAGGACUGCCUGGCUCAGAACGGUGGAGGGAGAAGGUCAAGAGGAGGAGGGGAGCCAUCAGAGCUAACUGCCCGUCACCUGCUUGCCUUCAGAAGAUGUGCCUUCCGGGACCUGGUGGAGAGCAGAUGCCAGUGAGGUGCCUGUGGAGAGAAGGAAGCGUUUUCAUGUUCAGCCACACUUCUGCGGUCAUGCAAUUGGGCUCCAGGUGUGUGGCUGUACUGUCUCCACUCCCUGGUGAUUGGAGGAGGCUGAUCACAGGAGCUGCCUUGCAGUGAGUAUUCUGGCAUUUGAAGCAUCCAGGCCAAAGCUGAGGAUGUCAAGGGGAUUUCUAAGAAGAAAGAUGUUGCUGCUGGCAUCCAUACACCAUCAAGGUUGCCAUGAAAUGAGUGGCUUUGCUCCACCAAGUGUUCCAUGGACUGAGUGACCAUGGAAUAAAACCUGAUAUCAAUCUUUUGACAUGCAAACAAUUUGAACCUAGCACCUGAUGCCAGUCUUCUAGCAAGAGAUCAAGUGGGACUACGUGUAUUAAC